This is a long non-coding RNA of Calidris pygmaea (Spoon-billed sandpiper), 2690 nucleotides long. Lineage: Eukaryota; Metazoa; Chordata; Aves; Charadriiformes; Scolopacidae. The record is from Ensembl.
UUCACAAACCUGAAUACAAAGCUGAGUCUUGUCUUUUAUCAAAUAUGCAAUGACUGUUUCUUAAAACUUGUUUUUAACAUAUUUUAUGGACAUUUUUUCUUAGGGUGUGAAGUGGAUUUGUCACAAUGGGACACCAGCCUUCCUUUUCUCUUGACCAACCACCUCAUGCGAACCAGUGCUAAACCAAUGAAGUUUUGGGCAUGCUACUUGUUUUGGCUGGGACAGAUCUGAUCUCCAGAACUGCGUGCAGAGCUGGGAAGGAGUAAGGUGAAAAUAGAGGAAUGUUCCCAGACCAAUCUGUGUAGAAGCAGCAGUUCCUCAACACAAACCAUUUGUCUCUGGGUUGAAAUUCAAGAAUGUUAACCCUGUGUGUGCUCUGUGGGCUACACAGCACCUCCUGUAGGAACAACACUUAAUGGAGACUUGUUCGGUGGAGCAAGCUGCCUUGUGUUGUGGACUUUGCAGAUAGCUGGAACUGUAACUCACUUCUUUCCUCGUGAAUGCAUUGAAGAUAAGGUCCAGUACAACAAAUUCCAGGUCCUCCUCCAUGUCUGGACAAAGAGGCCAGACACCGCUGUUUCCAGAGAAGAAUGUGCCCAAAACAGAAGAGCUGGUGACUUGGGAAAAAUUGCCUUUUGUCGUAGCUGACGGGUACGUGGCUUCUGUUAUCUGCACAUGCAAAUCAGGGGCAAGAGCUGCUUUUAGCAUAGUUGCUGGAUGUGGGCUUCAUGCUUAUUCACUGUCACUCAUACACUUACCUCUACCGCUUUGCUUUUCUUUAAGUCAUAGAGCCCAUUUGUGUCCCGAGGCUCAAGCUCCAUCAUCUUUUGCCCCACGUAGAGGGACAGCUGUAUGGCACUGGCUCUGUGACUCCUGUAUUACAAAUGAACGGCAUAAAGAGCACCGACCCAGAACCCAUUUCCUAGUUCGUGUCUCAACUUCCACAUCUCCAGACCUUUUGCAAGAGACUGUGAGCAUUCAAAGACCUAAGCAGUUGCUGAAACCCUAAUUCAAAGUGCACUGAGAGGACUACACUAAGAUGUUACCCUUCUCUGCAGGCCCAGCUCACUGUGGCUGGACAUGUUCCUCAGCUGUGGCAGCAAGAUAGUACUAGCAAUGCACAGCAGUUCAGAAUAACUGGAAAGGGAUAGGUGUGAUUCCUGCACUGGUCUGAAGGGUCCAAGAGACCUGACCUGGUUCCCAGGAUAAGAUGGUACAAACCUUUUAAGUGUUAAAUCUAGACAGGUGUUUCUGUCCCAGUUCCUGGGGAAGAGUUUGCAUUUCUUGCUUAAAGAGAUUAAUAUAUGCUAAUUACUGUCUGGUUCAGUUCCUGUCCUAUUUCAGAAGCAAUGCAAACAUUUCCAGGCGUAUUAUCUUCAAGCAAUGGGGGAUAUCUUGAUGGGCUCCAUGCAGCUGUAAUGGAGAGAGGUGGUCCUGGAAAAAAAACGCAUUUGGUAUUUUUACAGUGUUCUGCCAAGGCUGGAGUUGCCUCCAUACCCAGCCCUACUCUAAAUAGCCAGCAGUCUCUAUGGGCUAGAAGCUAACUCGGCAGCUCUCCAUAAUCAUGUUUUGUAGAUAAUUCUCCUUCCCUGUUCUGGAAAGCAGGCCCAACUCCAAAUGCAACAAAGCUGGAUGAGACUUUUUUGGUUGGUUCUUUUUAUUUUUUUGUGUAAGUGACCUUUCCAGCCAGGGCCCAAUAGAGUAAGAAUUGCUUCUUAGGAUCUUUUUAGCCCAUUUUUGGGAGAGCUACCUUUGUCCAGCAAAUUGGGAGAAAGUGCUGUGGCUGAGCUGGGUGGGACUUGGCAGGGAAGCAACAGUGAUCAAGUGAGUCAAACUUACAGGCGAUAGCACAACUGAGCACAUUUGUGAGAGCAUUUAUGCCACAGCCAGAAAGAGUUGCCAAAGCUGGCUCUGUAGUGGUGGUGUGCAUUUCACUUUGGUCCUUCUCAAUCACAGAUGGGUACAGGGAUCAUGAAUGCAGGCAAAAGCUUCUCGUUUUCUCCCCAGCUGCCUCUGGGAGGGAGCUGGGGAGAGAAGCACAAGUAUCUGUUCAAAGCACGAGGCCACUGUGUAAUUGCUACCACUGUGAGCAUGGAAGCAGUCCCAGCUCCCAUGUGCCCUCUUCCUUUUAGGUCUCUGCUGGUUUACUAAUGUGCCUGAAGCAAGACUGAAUUCCUUUAUCAAGCGAGUACAAAAUGAGUGAGAGCAGCUACAACUGUGUAGCAUAGGGAGAACUCAAAGGAGAUGGAACCGAACUAACUCAAGUGCCAGGAGCACGCUGGCUACAAGAGCUGAGAGGUCAGCAUCAGUCAGUGUCCCCAGUCUCUGAGCUAGCCUGGGCACUGGUCUGCAGCACUGGCAGCCCUGCUGUGACACGCUCUGCUCCAGUGAAAAACAGGCACCCAGUGUCUCGCUGAUCACACGCCUCAGCCCUGGUUUGGAAGGCUUCCUGCUGGGGGCAACUUACGCCUCUGCCACACCACUCUUCUCCUGGGCUAGCCAGGAAGGGAUGGAAGCUUGAGGGGAACAGAGGCAGUAGAGCUACCGGUGUCUCAAAUGUAGAUCAGAGGCUUUUUUCUCACCUCUACUGCCAUGCCGCUGACCACAAAACAGACAAUACAUUCGGGUCUCAUCAGCUCAGGCUGGCUCAAAACUAAGUGACCUAGAAAAUAAAAUCUCAGAGAAUGCCA